GCCGAGAUAGCUCAGU
This 16-nucleotide transfer RNA is filed under the name Micropolypodium okuboi. RNAcentral describes it as "partial tRNA-Phe". RNAcentral also lists the same sequence under 3 other names. Lineage: Eukaryota; Viridiplantae; Streptophyta; Polypodiopsida; Polypodiales; Polypodiaceae. The record is from RNAcentral.